RNAcentral lists this ribosomal RNA (487 nucleotides) under uncultured bacterium. RNAcentral describes it as "bacterial SSU rRNA". It matches the Rfam family "Bacterial small subunit ribosomal RNA", at positions 30 to 508 of the family's 1533-position model. The record is from RNAcentral.
AUUGAACGCUGGCGGCAUGCCUUACACAUGCAAGUCGAACGGCAGCACGGGAGCAAUCCUGGUGGCGAGUGGCGAACGGGUGAGUAAUAUAUCGGAACGUGGCCCAGUCGUGGGGAUAACGUAGCGAAAGCUACGCUAAUACCGCAUACGAUCUAUGGAUGAAAGCGGGGGAUCGCAAGACCUCGCGCGAUUGGAGCGGCCGAUAUCAGAUUAGGUAGUUGGUGAGGUAAAGGCUCACCAAGCCGACGAUCUGUAGCUGGUCUGAGAGGACGACCGAGCCACACUGGGACUGAGACACGGCCCAGACUCCUACGGGAGGGCAGCAGUGGGGAAUUUUGGACAAUGGGCGCAAGCCUGAUCCAGCAAUGCCGCGUGCAGGAUGAAGGCCCUCGGGUUGUAAACUGCUUUUGUACGGAACGAAAGGUUUCUAUUAAUACUAGGAGCGUCAUGACGGUACCGUAAGAAUAAGCACCGGCUAACUACGUCG